UGGGGAAUAUUACGCAAUGGGGGAAACCCUGACGCAGCGACGCCGCGUGCGGGAUGAAGGCCUUCGGGUUGUAAACCGCUUUUGAUUGGGAGCAAGCCUUUUGGGUGAGUGUACCUUUCGAAUAAGCGCCGGCUAACUACGUGCCAGCAGCCGCGGUAAUACGUAGGGCGCAAGCGUUAUCCGGAAUUAUUGGGCGUAAAGGGUGCGUAGGUGGUCUUUCAAGUCGGUGGUUAAAGGCUACGGCUCAACCGUAGUUAGCCUCCGAAACUGGAAGACUUGAGUGCAGGAGAGGAAAGUGGAAUUCCCAGUGUAGCGGUGAAAUGCGUAGAUAUUGGGAGGAACACCAGUAGCGAAGGCGGCUUUCUGGACUGCAACUGACACUGAGGCACGAAAGCGUGGGUAGCAAACAGG
Molecule: ribosomal RNA, 411 nt
Filed under: Verrucomicrobiota bacterium
Lineage: Bacteria; Pseudomonadati; Verrucomicrobiota
Description: Verrucomicrobia bacterium partial 16S ribosomal RNA
Rfam family: Bacterial small subunit ribosomal RNA
Source: RNAcentral